Staphylotrichum longicolle is the source of this 133-nucleotide non-coding RNA. The record is from the annotation of a GenBank genome assembly. Lineage: Eukaryota; Fungi; Ascomycota; Sordariomycetes; Sordariales; Chaetomiaceae.
GUGCGUGUGGUGUAAUUGGUAACACCUUUGCAAGCAGCACGGGGUUUUUAAAUCAUCUGACGUUAUACACUGCGAGUGAGUCUGAUGGCCCAUCCUCUUGCAAGUGAUCCCAGUUCGAUUCUGGGCGCGGGCA